This 868-nucleotide ribosomal RNA is filed under the name Craterellus cornucopioides. Its description in RNAcentral is "eukaryotic LSU rRNA". The stretch from base 374 to 572 matches the Rfam family "5.8S ribosomal RNA". Lineage: Eukaryota; Fungi; Basidiomycota; Agaricomycetes; Cantharellales; Hydnaceae. The record is from RNAcentral.
AGGAUCAUUCACUUGAUAAAAAGGCUUCUGAAGCCUUUUUCUCUCUUUCUUAACCAAGUGGGGUUCUUGAAUUACCACUGUGAUGCUGAGAUAUGGGUCUUGAAGCCCUUUGUGAUUGCUUUCAGGCAUCUGAUCUUAUCCAGCAAAAGGUUCAUUGUAAAACCCGACUGUGAGUUUGGGAGUAUUGGACCAUAUUUAUAAUAUCACUCAGUUGUUGGUCAAGUUGAAAAGCAAUCCACUCUUGGAGGGGAGAGAAGGAUAUGGUUGAGGGUUUGUAGCCCAAGGUUGUAUUCUAUCUUGUCUCUCUCUUGAGUCUAGAGAACUCGAGAUAAUUGUCCAUAUUGUGGAAUUAUCAUAACAUGAGCUCAUUUACAACUUUCAGCAAUGGAUCUCUUGGUUCUCGCAUCGAUGAAGAACGCAGUGAAAUGCGAUAACUGGUGUGAAUUGCAUCCAAGUAACUCUAAUUUACGAAUAACACCAAGUGAAUCAUCGAGUCUUUGAACGCAAUUGCGCCCUCUCGGUCGCUUCCAAUUGGGGGUUGACUCAUAGGGGGUACGUCUGUUCGAGGGUCAUUUGAACCUCUCAAAGGGUUUUUGGCUUUAAAAACCCUUUGGAUUUGGGUCUUGCCGUGAAAUUCUUAUCUUGGCUCACCUUGAAAGCAUUAGCAAAGCUUUUCAGCACUUGAAAGUCUUUUUUGAAUGAGGGCGUUGUUAAUUUGGUCAGGCCUCCUUGAGAGGAUUCUCAUACGUCUCAGUCAUGAAAAGUCUCAGUGAUUUUGAAACUUGCUUCCAAUGAUCCUUAUAAGGAUAAGGCCCCUCCUGGGCCCUUUUUCAAUGUAUCAAUGACCUCGAAUCAGAUGAGAAUACCC